AUUGAACGCUGGCGGCAGGCCUAACACAUGCAAGUCGAGCGAGUGGCGGACGGGUGAGUAAUGUCUGGGGAACUGCCCGAUGGAGGGGGAUAACUACUGGAAACGGUAGCUAAUACCGCAUACCAUCGGAUGUACCCAUAUGGGAUUAGCUAGUGGGUGGGGUAAAGGCUCACCUAGGCGACGAUCUCUAGCUGGUCUGAGAGGAUGAACAGACACACUGGAACUGAGACACGGCCCAGACUCCUACGGGAGGCAGCAGUGGGGAAUAUUGCACAAUGGGCGCAAGCCUGAUGCAGCCAUGCCGCGUGUAUGAAGAAGGCCUUAGGGUUGUAAAGUACUUUCAGCGGGGAGGCGUUACCCGCAGAAGAAGCACCGGCUAACUCCGUGCCAGCAGCCGCGGUAAUAC
This 406-nucleotide ribosomal RNA is filed under the name uncultured bacterium. RNAcentral describes it as "partial 16S ribosomal RNA". It matches the Rfam family "Bacterial small subunit ribosomal RNA", at positions 30 to 526 of the family's 1533-position model. The record is from RNAcentral.